GUUUCAAGUUUGUUGAAAUUAUGGCUCCUGUCUUUUCUCGAAAAGCUUGGCGGUGUGUAUGGCACAUGAUUCAGGUAUAUUGAGAUGAUUUCUUUGGAGCAAUUCUUGACAACAUUUGUAGUUGAGGCCUUUAGAAUGGAAGAAUGUAUUUCACUAAUUUUUGUGUACAUUUCUUGUUUUGUAUUUAGUGAUAAAGGAAUCUAAAUUGGGCAUAAAUUAUGUUGUAAUAUGAUUUCUUAAGCCUAGACUAGUAGACUAAA
This is a long non-coding RNA of Humulus lupulus (European hop), 260 nucleotides long. RefSeq lists it as uncharacterized. NCBI's taxonomy places the organism in Eukaryota, Viridiplantae, Streptophyta, Magnoliopsida, Rosales, Cannabaceae. The transcript has 2 exons. The record is from RefSeq and is a predicted model, not a curated record.